RNAcentral lists this ribosomal RNA (406 nucleotides) under uncultured bacterium. Its description in RNAcentral is "partial 16S ribosomal RNA". It matches the Rfam family "Bacterial small subunit ribosomal RNA", at positions 30 to 526 of the family's 1533-position model. The record is from RNAcentral.
AUUGAACGCUGGCGGCAUGCCUAACACAUGCAAGUCGAACGAGUGGCGGACGGGUGAGUAAUGUAUGGGAACCUGCCCAGUAGCGGGGGAUAACUACUGGAAAGGGUGGCUAAUACCGCAUACCAUCGGAUGUGCCCAUAUGGGAUUAGCUAGUAGGUGGGGUAACGGCUCACCUAGGCAACGAUCCCUAGCUGGUCUGAGAGGAUGACCAGCCACACUGGGACUGAGACACGGCCCAGACUCCUACGGGAGGCAGCAGUGGGGAAUUUUGGACAAUGGGCGAAAGCCUGAUGCAGCCAUGCCGCGUGUAUGAAGAAGGCCUUCGGGUUGUAAAGUACUUUUAGCGGGGAAGCGGUAUCUGCAGAAUAAGCACCGGCUAACUCCGUGCCAGCAGCCGCGGUAAUUC